Molecule: transfer RNA, 69 nt
Filed under: Mesocricetus auratus (golden hamster)
Lineage: Eukaryota; Metazoa; Chordata; Mammalia; Rodentia; Cricetidae
Rfam family: tRNA
About the family: Transfer RNA (tRNA) molecules are approximately 80 nucleotides in length.
Source: Rfam by way of RNAcentral
GAGAGAUUGCUUAGUGGUUAGUUUCUGGCGCUCAUGCAGAGGGCCUGGGUUCAACUCCCAGUUCUCUCA